Molecule: small RNA, 28 nt
Filed under: Bombyx mori (domestic silkworm)
Lineage: Eukaryota; Metazoa; Arthropoda; Insecta; Lepidoptera; Bombycidae
Description: ovarian small RNA-25574
Source: RNAcentral
UCAGAAUUAACCAUUAAGCUGCCGUGCC